This 76-nucleotide transfer RNA is filed under the name Firmicutes bacterium ADurb.Bin356. RNAcentral's name for it is "tRNA-Pro". It matches the Rfam family "tRNA". From Rfam's summary of the family: Transfer RNA (tRNA) molecules are approximately 80 nucleotides in length. The record is from RNAcentral. Lineage: Bacteria; Bacillati; Bacillota. RNAcentral also lists the same sequence under 3 other names.
CGGAGAGUAGCUCAGCUUGGCUUAGAGCGCUGCGUUCGGGACGCAGAGGUCGCAGGUUCAAAUCCUGUCUCUCCGA